This 527-nucleotide ribosomal RNA is filed under the name uncultured bacterium. Its description in RNAcentral is "bacterial SSU rRNA". It matches the Rfam family "Bacterial small subunit ribosomal RNA", at positions 777 to 1304 of the family's 1533-position model. The record is from RNAcentral.
AAUAGAUACCCUGGUAGUCCACGCCGUAAACGAUGUCGACUUGGAGGUUGUGCCCUUGAGGCGUGGCUUCCGGAGCUAACGCGUUAAGUCGACCGCCUGGGGAGUACGGCCGCAAGGUUAAAACUCAAAUGAAUUGACGGGGGCCCGCACAAGCGGUGGAGCAUGUGGUUUAAUUCGAUGCAACGCGAAGAACCUUACCUACUCUUGACAUCCACGGAAUUUAGCAGAGAUGCUUUAGUGCCUUCGGGAACCGUGAGACAGGUGCUGCAUGGCUGUCGUCAGCUCGUGUUGUGAAAUGUUGGGUUAAGUCCCGCAACGAGCGCAACCCUUAUCCUUUGUUGCCAGCGGUUAGGCCGGGAACUCAAAGGAGACUGCCAGUGAUAAACUGGAGGAAGGUGGGGAUGACGUCAAGUCAUCAUGGCCCUUACGAGUAGGGCUACACACGUGCUACAAUGGCAUAUACAAAGAGAAGCGACCUCGCGAGAGCAAGCGGACCUCAUAAAGUAUGUCGUAGUCCGGAUUGGAGU